This 253-nucleotide ribosomal RNA is filed under the name uncultured Eubacteriales bacterium. Its description in RNAcentral is "uncultured Clostridiales bacterium partial 16S ribosomal RNA". It matches the Rfam family "Bacterial small subunit ribosomal RNA", at positions 524 to 776 of the family's 1533-position model. The record is from RNAcentral. Lineage: Bacteria; Bacillati; Bacillota; Clostridia; Eubacteriales.
UACGUAGGGGGCAAGCGUUAUCCGGAUUUACUGGGUGUAAAGGGAGCGUAGACGGCAGGGCAAGUCUGGAGUGAAAGCCCGGGGCCCAACCCCGGGACUGCUUUGGAAACUGCCAUGCUAGAGUGCUGGAGAGGUAAGCGGAAUUCCUGGUGUAGCGGUGAAAUGCGUAGAUAUCAGGAGGAACACCAGUGGCGAAGGCGGCUUACUGGACUGUAACUGACGUUGAGGCACGAAAGCGUGGGUAUCGAACAGG